This 449-nucleotide ribosomal RNA is filed under the name uncultured bacterium. Its description in RNAcentral is "partial 16S ribosomal RNA". It matches the Rfam family "Bacterial small subunit ribosomal RNA", at positions 29 to 523 of the family's 1533-position model. The record is from RNAcentral.
AACGAACGCUGGCGGCAUGCCUAACACAUGCAAGUCGAACGAAGGCUUCGGCCUUAGUGGCGCACGGGUGCGUAACGCGUGGGAAUCUGCCCCUCGGUUCGGAAUAACAGUUAGAAAUGACUGCUAAUACCGGAUGAUGACUUCGGUCCAAAGAUUUAUCGCCGAGGGAUGAGCCCGCGUAAGAUUAGGUAGUUGGUGGGGUAAAGGCCUACCAAGCCGACGAUCUUUAGCUGGUCUGAGAGGAUGAUCAGCCACGCUGGGACUGAGACACGGCCCAGACUCCUACGGGAGGCAGCAGUGGGGAAUAUUGGACAAUGGGCGAAAGCCUGAUCCAGCAAUGCCGCGUGAGUGAUGAAGGCCUUAGGGUUGUAAAGCUCUUUUACCAGGGAUGAUAAUGACAGUACCUGCAGAAAAAGCACCGGCUAACUACGUGCCAGCCGCCGCCGUAA